Molecule: long non-coding RNA, 1740 nt
Filed under: Ficedula albicollis (Collared flycatcher)
Lineage: Eukaryota; Metazoa; Chordata; Aves; Passeriformes; Muscicapidae
Description: lncRNA (ENSFALG00000023208.1)
Source: RNAcentral
GGUUGCCAUGGCAGGAGUUUGUCUUUGAUCUCUUCUGUAGGAAAACUCAUGCCAUGUACUAUUAAAAAUAGAUAAAUAAAAGAUACCACUUGUGCUGUGAAACUCUACCUCACUGGGUAGGCUAUUGUGAGAAUGAUUUUUGUCUUGUAUCUUACCGUUCAUUUGAGUAUGCCUUAAUUUUGAUUUAAUUAAUUUUGAAGUAGACCUGUUAUUUACUAAGCAACUGUAGUGCAAAUGUUGUUUGACUAAGGCUGUCCACACACCGGCUCAACCAGGUGUGGCUCUGCUGGGCUCUGCUUUCAGUGCAGCUGUUUCUGCUGGGUGUUGUAGCAGGAUUUCAUUAGUAUAAUUAAAGCUCUAGUUUAUUUUGUUUACAGUUUACCGCUAGUGGAACUUCAAGCACUGGCAGACAGAGAGGAGAAUAGACCUGGAUCUUUGCUGUUUUCUUAAAAAAACCUCAGAGCUGCUAAUUUUAAUUGGGUGCCUGGUAUGAAGGCAAUGCAGUUUGUCCUGUGGCUCCUGCACAUUCUGUUUGCCCAGGACAGCCCCUGGAGAUUCUGUGUGCCCAGAGAAGCUCCUGCAGAUUCUUUGUGCCCAGGGCAGCCCCUGCACAUUCUGUGUGCCCAGAGCAGCUCCUGCAGAUUCUGUGUGCCCAGGGCAGCUCCUGCAGAUUCUGCAUGCCCAGUGCAGCUCCUGCACACUGACUCUGUGUGCUCAGAUCAGCUCCUGCUGCUGCUCCAUCCGGGAGCACCCGGGCAGGGCAGGGCAGUGCAGGGGCUGAGCUGUAGGAGCAGGAGCAGGAGCAGGAGCAGGAGCAGGAGCAGGAGCAGAGGGAUUUGGGGUAGCUCCAGGGGGAAGGUGCUCCCCGAGUGUUGGGGCUGCAGGAGGCAGGGAAGGGAUGGCCGGAGGUGUGCUCCUCAUUUUUGGAUGUGUUCUUUGCAAUUUUAGUAAAAUUCCUGCUUUUUCUGUUGGUAGCUGCUGAAACGAGCUGAGUUUCCAUGCCAGGACUACUACAAGAUGUGUAUGUGCUGAUUUUUCUGGGCAGGUUUUGUUCAGUCUGUUUCUUUGUUCUGACACUACACACACACAAUUUGUGUGCGUCUUCCAGGUACAAGAAUUCUUUAGACAUUUCCUCUCCAUUUAGUAUUGAUUCCACAAACCUCAUCAGUAGAAAGAAAGAAAAAAAUAACAAUCGUCACAGAGUGUAUCAUAUGUCAGUCCAUCUAAAAAAAAAAAAGAAAAAAAAAGAGUUUUAUAUUACUCUGAAAUUUGUGCACAAUAAAUGUUCUUUAAACUAAGAUCCUUGAAUUAAUUGUAUUCUGGAUUUUUUUCCUCUUUGUUCUGUAAUUAUUUAUGAUUCUUAUCUGUGUUCAGACUUGAGCUUAGUUUGUUAAUAUGUAUAAUUUAGCAUUUAUUGCAUUCAUAUGUAAAUAGGAGCAAGUAUUGUAAACUAUUUCGUUGCUGGGGUUGUGGGUGUUAUACAUACACACAUUUAGGAUUGCAGUUUUUUGGUAUAAUAUUUUGUAUUGUAAAAUAACAGCUAAUUUAAAGCCAGAACGAGAAAAUUCUUGGGAGGUCUGUGCAUUUUAAAUACAAAUGUGAAGUACAUGUAUAUAAAUAAAAGUAAAUAAUGCAAAUCUUUCCUCUGAAAUAAAAAGUAGAUGAUCUGGUUAAAAUUUUCCUCUUAUUUAUUUUCUUAAAAUGGGGGGAAAAAUAAUUCAAGGUGGUUUUGAAGGUUCC